UCAACUUGACACGAUCUUUCACUUUAACACCUCACCUCAACUAGAAUUCAAGUGUCAUUUUAGCACUUUUUGCUGAGUCAUCAGUGGAUGUGUGCUACACUCAUUUUGAGCGCGCUUGAGGAGUAUUUUCAUAAUUUUUUCAUCUUUAAAAUUUUUCAAAAUUAUUGAAAAUCUCCAUUGGCAAAUCAGCAACAAUUUUCAUCUUGAGCAGAACUCUUAGCCCUAUUUUUUG
Molecule: long non-coding RNA, 232 nt
Filed under: Capsicum annuum
Lineage: Eukaryota; Viridiplantae; Streptophyta; Magnoliopsida; Solanales; Solanaceae
Description: long non-coding RNA (CANN_LNC009278)
Source: RNAcentral